Molecule: long non-coding RNA, 203 nt
Filed under: Elaeis guineensis (African oil palm)
Lineage: Eukaryota; Viridiplantae; Streptophyta; Magnoliopsida; Arecales; Arecaceae
Description: long non-coding RNA (EGUI_LNC014604)
Source: RNAcentral
GCCGGCUAAUUCAUUAGUAGCAAAAGAUAGCAAAAUAAUAACCAACUUAUUUUUCAUCAAGUAGAAGGAAGAAAAAACCCUUUGGAGCUACAUUAGUCGAUUCAACAUUGAGAUAUUAGAGGUGCAUAAGCUAGACACUCUUAUUGCUAUAGCUACUAUGACGAAUAGGCUCAUAAGCUUGCACUUCAACCUCUUUUUGGAGU